AAAAUGUCUAAAAGGCUGUCAGCGGCAUAUGUAUACAUCGUUUUAUUGAUCGAGACAGAUCGAUAGACAUACGCGAGAUGUGUUGUAUAUUGAUAUAGAUCGACAGACACACGAGAUGUGUUUUAGAGAAAAAUACAAACACCGACAGGACCACGUGGGAAAUGGGGGCUCCCGGUAGUGUGAACUAAAGGCUUGUGUGGCUCAACUAGCUGUGAAUUGGAAGAAGAGAAGAGGGACGUUAGUUAGUGAAAGACUUUAAUGGCUGCAGAGUCGUCAUUUCUUGACAGCAAGGACGUUCAAGCGGAGGUUCGUAGUUGGUUCGAGUUGCUUCGCACUUUGCACCGCUGGGUGGCAGUGCUGCACAUUGUUUGCCAACCGCCAUCCAACUCCACGAGAAGAAGUUUCACGAUGACGUAAGAACGGCCCAUGUGCUUGUUUGCGAGUCGAGCUGCUUACGUUUAGCACGCGGCCAACUAUGUGCUAUUUCGUCGUGACUUUUCCGUUUGGUCGCGAUAUUUGAGCUGACGGACUUAGGAGAGUUUACGUUCUAACUGGCGCAAGGUACACUUGAUUUGAAUUGAGAGGUGCAGACACUUUCAAAGCACGAUGUGAGGGGAAGGACGGAGUCGAGUUCGACUUACCUUAAAAGCUGAGAAGAUUCCCGCCAGCGUUGGUUUCUUGCUUGUUUCACGCCCAAAGUUGGUGUGCAGAAGUGAUGAGCUAAAAGGCCGUCUGAAGCCCCUCUCCGAGCAGUCUGUUCACAGGCAGGGGGAGUGUGAUGUCACCGGUCUGAAGCGUGUUCUGAUCCGCCACACAUCACCAUCUUGUCCUGUGCUGUGCAGUGCUUCCCAUUAAUUUUGCUCUCCUUGCUUGCAGACACAAGCCUGGCAAAGAGGCACCAUCGUGGGAUCUAAUACUGUGCGCUUUGGGUUGGACUGCCAUCACGUGAAGAGAUUGAAAGCGCAGCCUCUCCCUGUCCAGAAGGCUGUGUGCCAUGCAUUUAGGUAUGGAGGUAAAUUGGGGUCAAACGUUUUGUACUUAAAAAAACAAAACUCGUACUUGAAAAAAUAAACCUUGAAUCUGAAACUUAAAUGUGCAGAGCUUAAAACUUGAAAAAUAAAACAAUGCAUUCAAAAUAAAAACACUUGUUUGAA
Molecule: long non-coding RNA, 1154 nt
Organism: Syngnathus acus (greater pipefish)
Lineage: Eukaryota; Metazoa; Chordata; Actinopteri; Syngnathiformes; Syngnathidae
Exons: 3
Source: RefSeq, a predicted model, not a curated record